GACGAACGCUGGCGGCGUGCUUAACACAUGCAAGUCGAACGGAAAGGCCCUGCUUUUGUGGGGUGCUCGAGUGGCGAACGGGUGAGUAACACGUGAGUAACCUGCCCUUGACUUUGGGAUAACUUCAGGAAACUGGGGCUAAUACCGGAUAGGAGCUCCUGCUGCAUGGUGGGGGUUGGAAAGUUUCGGCGGUUGGGGAUGGACUCGCGGCUUAUCAGCUUGUUGGUGGGGUAGUGGCUUACCAAGGCUUUGACGGGUAGCCGGCCUGAGAGGGUGACCGGCCACAUUGGGACUGAGAUACGGCCCAGACUCCUACGGGAGGCAGCAGGGGGGAAUAUUGCACAAUGGGCGGAAGCCUGAUGCAGCAACGCCGCGUGCGGGAUGACGGCCUUCGGGUUGGAAACCGCUUUCGCCUGUGACGAAGCGUGAGUGACGGUAAUGGGUAAAGAAGCACCGGCUUACUACGUG
RNAcentral lists this ribosomal RNA (468 nucleotides) under uncultured bacterium. RNAcentral's name for it is "partial 16S ribosomal RNA". It matches the Rfam family "Bacterial small subunit ribosomal RNA", at positions 28 to 507 of the family's 1533-position model. The record is from RNAcentral.